This 1864-nucleotide ribosomal RNA is filed under the name human gut metagenome. RNAcentral describes it as "bacterial LSU rRNA". It matches the Rfam family "Bacterial large subunit ribosomal RNA", at positions 465 to 2419 of the family's 2925-position model. The record is from RNAcentral.
CCUAAAUACUACCCAGUGACCGAUAGCGUAUAGUACUGUGAAGGAAAGGUGAAAAGCACCCCGGGAGGGGAGUGAAAAAGAACCUGAAACCCUGUGCCUACAAGCACCUAGAGCGCGUCAAUGCGUGAUAGGGUACUUUUUGUAGAACGGUCCGGCGAGCGAUUGUAUGCAGCAAGGUUAAGGACUUAAGGUCUGGAGCCGAAGCGAAAGCGAGUUUGAAAAGGGCGUUAAGUUGCAUAUAAUGGGCCCGAAACCGGGUGACCUACCCAUGGUCAGGUUGAAGUGGAAGUAAAAUUCCAUGGAGGACCGAACCGACCUCCGUUGAAAAGGCGGCGGAUGAACUGUGGGUAGCGGAGAAAUUCCAAUCGAACCCGGAGAUAGCUGGUUCUCCCCGAAAUAGUUUUAGGACUAGCCUCAAGUUAGAUACCUGGAGGUAAAGCACUGAAUAGCCUAGCGGCCGAGAGGUUAGCGAAGCUUAUCAAACUCAGAAUGCCAGAGUAUUGAUGCUUGGGAGUCAGACAGUGUCAGAUAAAUGUCAUUGUCAAAAGGGAAACAGCCCAGAUCUACAGCUAAGGUCCCAAAGUCAGGUUAAGUGGAAAACGAUGUGAAGAUACGCAGACAACCAGGAUGUUGGCUCAGAAGCAGCCACUCAUUCAAAGAGUGCGUAAUAGCUCACUGGUCGAGCGUCUUUGCGCGGAGAAUUUAACGGGGCUAAACCUGACACCGAAGCUUAGGCAAUCCAGCAAUGGAUUGGGUAGGGGAGCGUUGUAUACGCGGAGAAACAGUAGCGUAAGCGGCUGUGGAGUGUAUAGAAGUGAGAAUGCCGGAAUGAGUAGCGCGAAUGCAGUGAGAAUCUGCAUGGCCGAAAGCCUCAGGUUUUUGGAGGAAGGUUCGUCCGCUCCAAGUUAGUCGGGAGCUAAGGUGAGGCCGGAAGGCGUAGCCGAUGCACAGACGGUAGAGAUUCCGUCACCACCAAAAGAGUUAAGCACAGGGACACAUUUGAAGUCUCAGAGCCGGGUGUUGGUUCCGGUAGAGAUCGAGGGAAGUUAGUACCGAAGUCUGGGAUGGAAGAUGGCGAGAAAAGCUGUGUGUAUUUCUGAGGUGCCCGUACCGCAAACCGACACAGGUAGGUAGGAAGAAGAUUCUAAGGCCAACGGGAGAAGGGUUGUUAAGGAACUCGGCAAAUUGACCCCGUAACUUCGGGAGAAGGGGUGCUCCAGAGAUGGAGCCGCAGAGAAUCGGCCCAAGCAACUGUUUACCAAAAACACAGGUUUGUGCUAAAUCGAAAGAUGACGUAUACGAGCUGACGCCUGCCCGGUGCUGGAAGGUUAAGAGGAGAUGUGCAAGCAUUGAAUCGAAGCCCCAGUGAACGGCGGCCGUAACUAUAACGGUCCUAAGGUAGCGAAAUUCCUUGUCAGGUAAGUUCUGACCCGCACGAAAGGCGUAAUGAUUUGGGCACUGUCUCAACAGCCCGCCCGGCGAAAUUGUAGUACCGGUGAAGAUGCCGGUUACCCGCGACAAGACGGAAAGACCCCAUGGAGCUUUACUGUAGCCUAAUAUUGGGUUUCGAUGUUGCAUGCACAGGAUAGAUGGGACACUGGGAAACAAUCGCUUUGGCGGUUGCGGAGUGGCCGUUGGGAUACCAUCCUUGCGAUAUUGGAAUUCUAACCUGCGGCUCUGAAUCGAGUCGGGGGACAUUGUUAGGUGGGCAGUUUGACUGGGGCGGUCGCCUCCUAAAAAGUAACGGAGGCGUUCAAAGGUUCGCUCAGCUUGAACGGAAAUCAAGCAAAAGAGUGCAAACGCAGAAGCGAGCCUAACUGCGAGACUGACGGGUCGAGCAGUAACGAAAGUUGGAGUUAGUGAU